This 497-nucleotide ribosomal RNA is filed under the name uncultured bacterium. Its description in RNAcentral is "partial 16S ribosomal RNA". It matches the Rfam family "Bacterial small subunit ribosomal RNA", at positions 28 to 507 of the family's 1533-position model. The record is from RNAcentral.
GAUGAACGCUGGCGGCUUGCCUAAUACAUGCAAGUCGAGCGAACUGACGAGAAGCUUUCUUCUCUGAUGUUAGCGGCGGACGGGUUAGUAACACGUGGAUAACCGACCUAUUAGACUGGGAUAACUUCGGGAGACCGGAGCUAAUACCGGAUAAUUGUUUGAACCGCAUUGUUCAAAAGUUAAAGACGGUCUUCCUGUCACUUAUAGAUUGAUCCGCGCUGCAUUAGCUAGUUGGUAAUGUAACGGCUUACCAAGGCAACGAUGCAUAGCCGACCUGAGAGGGUGAUCGGCCACACUGGAACUGAGACACGGUACAGACUCCGACGGGAGGCAGCAGUAGGGAAUCUUCCGCAAUGGGCGAAAGCCUGAAGGAGCAACGCCGCGUGAGUGAUGAAGGUCUUCGGAGCGUAAAACUCUGUUAUUAGGGAAGAACAUAUGUGUAAGUAACUGUGCACAUCUUGACGGUACCUAAUCAGAAAGCAACGGCUAACUACGUG